GGGUUGUGAGGUUAAGCGACUAAGCGUACACGGUGGAUGCCCUGGCAGUCAGAGGCGAUGAAGGGCGUGCUAAUCUGCGAUAAGCGCCGGUAAGGUGAUAUGAACCGUUAUAACCGGCGAUACCCGAAUGGGGAAACCCAGUGUGAUUCGUCACACUAUCAUUAACUGAAUCCAUAGGUUAAUGAGGCGAACCGGGGGAACUGAAACAUCUAAGUACCCCGAGGAAAAGAAAUCAACCGAGAUUCCCCCAGUAGCGGCGAGCGAACGGGGAGGAGCCCAGAGCCUGAAUCAGCAUGUGUGUUAGUGGAAGCGUCUGGAAAGGCGCGCGAUACAGGGUGACAGCCCCGUACACAAAAGCGCAUGUGCUGUGAGCUCGAUGAGUAGGGCGGGACACGUGGUAUCCUGUCUGAAUAUGGGGGGACCAUCCUCCAAGGCUAAAUACUCCUGACUGACCGAUAGUGAACCAGUACCGUGAGGGAAAGGCGAAAAGAACCCCGGCGAGGGGAGUGAAAAAGAACCUGAAACCGUGUACGUACAAGCAGUGGGAGCACAGGUUUACCUGUGUGACUGCGUACCUUUUGUAUAAUGGGUCAGCGACUUAUAUUCUGUAGCAAGGUUAACCGUAUAGGGGAGCCGUAGGGAAACCGAGUCUUAACCGGGCGUUAAGUUGCAGGGUAUAGACCCGAAACCCGGUGAUCUAGCCAUGGGCAGGUUGAAGGUUGGGUAACACUAACUGGAGGACCGAACCGACUAAUGUUGAAAAAUUAGCGGAUGACCUGUGGCUGGGGGUGAAAGGCCAAUCAAACCGGGAGAUAGCUGGUUCUCCCCGAAAGCUAUUUAGGUAGCGCCUCGUGAAUUCAUCUCCGGGGGUAGAGCACUGUUUCGGCUAGGGGGCCAUCCCGGCUUACCAACCCGAUGCAAACUGCGAAUACCGGAGAAUGUUAUCACGGGAGACACACGGCGGGUGCUAACGUCCGUCGUGAAGAGGGAAACAACCCAGACCGCCAGCUAAGGUCCCAAAGUCAUGGUUAAGUGGGAAACGAUGUGGGAAGGCCCAGACAGCCAGGAUGUUGGCUUAGAAGCAGCCAUCAUUUAAAGAAAGCGUAAUAGCUCACUGGUCGAGUCGGCCUGCGCGGAAGAUGUAACGGGGCUAAACCAUGCACCGAAGCUGCGGCAGCGACGCUUAUGCGUUGUUGGGUAGGGGAGCGUUCUGUAAGCCUGUGAAGGUGUGUCGUGAGGCAUGCUGGAGGUAUCAGAAGUGCGAAUGCUGACAUAAGUAACGAUAAAGCGGGUGAAAAGCCCGCUCGCCGGAAGACCAAGGGUUCCUGUCCAACGUUAAUCGGGGCAGGGUGAGUCGACCCCUAAGGCGAGGCCGAAAGGCGUAGUCGAUGGGAAACGGGUUAAUAUUCCCGUACUUGGUGUUACUGCGAAGGGGGGACGGAGAAGGCUAUGUUGGCCGGGCGACGGUUGUCCCGGUUUAAGCGUGUAGGUGUGUGUUCCAGGUAAAUCCGGUUCACUUUAACACUGAGGCGUGAUGACGAGGCACUACGGUGCUGAAGCAACAAAUGCCCUGCUUCCAGGAAAAGCCUCUAAGCAUCAGGUAACAUCAAAUCGUACCCCAAACCGACACAGGUGGUCAGGUAGAGAAUACCAAGGCGCUUGAGAGAACUCGGGUGAAGGAACUAGGCAAAAUGGUGCCGUAACUUCGGGAGAAGGCACGCUGACACGUAGGUGAAGUGAUUUACUCACGGAGCUGAAGUCAGUCGAAGAUACCAGCUGGCUGCAACUGUUUAUUAAAAACACAGCACUGUGCAAACACGAAAGUGGACGUAUACGGUGUGACGCCUGCCCGGUGCCGGAAGGUUAAUUGAUGGGGUCAGCGCAAGCGAAGCUCCUGAUCGAAGCCCCGGUAAACGGCGGCCGUAACUAUAACGGUCCUAAGGUAGCGAAAUUCCUUGUCGGGUAAGUUCCGACCUGCACGAAUGGCGUAAUGAUGGCCAGGCUGUCUCCACCCGAGACUCAGUGAAAUUGAACUCGCUGUGAAGAUGCAGUGUACCCGCGGCAAGACGGAAAGACCCCGUGAACCUUUACUAUAGCUUGACACUGAACAUUGAGCCUUGAUGUGUAGGAUAGGUGGGAGGCUUUGAAGUGUGGACGCCAGUCUGCAUGGAGCCGACCUUGAAAUACCACCCUUUAAUGUUUGAUGUUCUAACGUGGACCCGUGAUCCGGGUUGCGGACAGUGUCUGGUGGGUAGUUUGACUGGGGCGGUCUCCUCCUAAAGAGUAACGGAGGAGCACGAAGGUUGGCUAAUCCUGGUCGGACAUCAGGAGGUUAGUGCAAUGGCAUAAGCCAGCUUGACUGCGAGCGUGACGGCGCGAGCAGGUGCGAAAGCAGGUCAUAGUGAUCCGGUGGUUCUGAAUGGAAGGGCCAUCGCUCAACGGAUAAAAGGUACUCCGGGGAUAACAGGCUGAUACCGCCCAAGAGUUCAUAUCGACGGCGGUGUUUGGCACCUCGAUGUCGGCUCAUCACAUCCUGGGGCUGAAGUAGGUCCCAAGGGUAUGGCUGUUCGCCAUUUAAAGUGGUACGCGAGCUGGGUUUAGAACGUCGUGAGACAGUUCGGUCCCUAUCUGCCGUGGGCGCUGGAGAACUGAGGGGGGCUGCUCCUAGUACGAGAGGACCGGAGUGGACGCAUCACUGGUGUUCGGGUUGUCAUGCCAAUGGCACUGCCCGGUAGCUAAAUGCGGAAGAGAUAAGUGCUGAAAGCAUCUAAGCACGAAACUUGCCCCGAGAUGAGUUCUCCCUGAGACUUAGAGUCUCCUGAAGGAACGUUGAAGACGACGACGUUGAUAGGCCGGGUGUGUAAGCGCAGCGAUGCGUUGAGCUAACCGGUACUAAUGAACCGUGAGGCUUAACCUUACAACGCCGAAG
RNAcentral lists this ribosomal RNA (2929 nucleotides) under Salmonella enterica subsp. enterica. Its description in RNAcentral is "23S ribosomal RNA". It matches the Rfam family "Bacterial large subunit ribosomal RNA". Lineage: Bacteria; Pseudomonadati; Pseudomonadota; Gammaproteobacteria; Enterobacterales; Enterobacteriaceae. The record is from RNAcentral.